RNAcentral lists this long non-coding RNA (243 nucleotides) under Elaeis guineensis (African oil palm). RNAcentral describes it as "long non-coding RNA (EGUI_LNC030316)". Lineage: Eukaryota; Viridiplantae; Streptophyta; Magnoliopsida; Arecales; Arecaceae. The record is from RNAcentral.
UCGCUAGACCAAGUCGGAUAUUGCACAGAUCACUCGCAAAGUGCGGAUGCUUUGCAUUGAAGUCUUUCCACACUAUAGAGUCGAUCAGGUGGCUAAGUAUGUUCUUCUCCAGAACCUACUGCUCAUAAUGUCAUCUUAUUUUUUUCGCUGUCUUUGUAGACAUAUACAACCUUUGAAGUCUUGGAAUCAAUGGAAAUACCAUAAAAUUUUUUAAGGUAUCUUCUUUCUUUUCCUGUUAUUGAU